CGCGCAGGCGGUCUUGUCCGUCAGGUGUGAAAGCCCGGGGCUCAACCCCGGAAGUGCACUUGAAACAGCAAGACUUGAAUACGGGAGAGGAGAGAGGAAUUCCUGGUGUAGAGGUGAAAUUCGUAGAUAUCAGGAGGAACACCGAUGGCGAAGGCAUCUCUCUGGACCGAUAUUGACGCUGAGGCGCGAAGGCGUGGGUAGCGAACAGGAUUAGAUACCCUGGUAGUCC
This 229-nucleotide ribosomal RNA is filed under the name uncultured bacterium. RNAcentral's name for it is "partial 16S ribosomal RNA". It matches the Rfam family "Bacterial small subunit ribosomal RNA", at positions 568 to 796 of the family's 1533-position model. The record is from RNAcentral.